GAUGAACGCUGGCGGCGUGCCUAAUACAUGCAAGUCGAGCGAACCACUUCGGUGGUGAGCGGCGAACGGGUGAGUAACACGUAGGUGAUCUGCCCAUCAGACGGGGACAACGAUUGGAAACGAUCGCUAAUACCGGAUAGGACGAAAGUUUAAAGGUGCUUCUGGCACCGCUGAUGGAUGAGCCUGCGGCGCAUUAGCUAGUUGGUAGGGUAAAGGCCUACCAAGGCGACGAUGCGUAGCCGACCUGAGAGGGUGAACGGCCACACUGGGACUGAGACACGGCCCAGACUCCUACGGGAGACAGCAGUAGGGAAUCUUCGGCAAUGGGCGAAAGCCUGACCGAGCAACGCCGCGUGAAUGAUGAAGGCCUCGGUUGUAAUCUGUUAUAAGGAAGAACGACUUAGUAGGAAAUGGCUAGAGUGUGACGGUACCUUAUGAGAAAGCCACGGCUAACUACGUGCCAGCAGCCGCGGUAA
Molecule: ribosomal RNA, 476 nt
Filed under: uncultured bacterium
Lineage: Bacteria
Description: bacterial SSU rRNA
Rfam family: Bacterial small subunit ribosomal RNA
Source: RNAcentral